UAAUCCAAGAUAAUCAAAUACCUUCCACCUCAAGCUUCUUACAUCAAGUUUACCAAAUAUGUCGUAAUAUAUGAAGUCUUAUUUGAGAAUGCUCCGGAUACUUGGUUGUAGAAGGUAGAAUGGAAAUUGCAACAAAAAAUCUUAAUCAUAAUAGAAUACUAAUAAAAUCUAAUUAGACCAUAAUAAUGUCAAGCAAGCUUUAAUCAAAUUCAAAGAAACCUCAAAGAAAUUUCAAAGAAAUAAUAAGAAAUCUUAAAAAAAUAUUAGAAUAAUCACAAAUAUAUCUCAAAUACAUGUCAAUUCAAUCUUAAUUUAACCCUAGUUAAAAUCCUAUUGAACUUCAUUUAAACUUUAGGCCAAAACUAAUUAAAUUUUAAACCCUAAAUAAAUCCUAAUAAAAUCCUAAACUCUAAAUCAAAUCCUAAAUCCCAAACCAAAUCCUAACCAAAUUCUAAAUCAAACUCUAAAUAAAUCCUAAAUCAAAUCCUAACUAAAUCUUAAACCCUAAACCAAAUCCUAAAUCCUAAACCAAAUCCUAAACCUUAAACCAAAUCCCAAACUCUAAACCAAAUCCAAACCGAAUUCUAAAUCCUAAAUCAAAUCUUAACCAAAUCCUAAACCAAACCUUAAAUCCUAAAUGAAAUCCUAACCAAAU
RNAcentral lists this long non-coding RNA (655 nucleotides) under Physcomitrium patens. RNAcentral describes it as "long non-coding RNA (PPAT_LNC006511)". The record is from RNAcentral. Lineage: Eukaryota; Viridiplantae; Streptophyta; Bryopsida; Funariales; Funariaceae.